GACGAACGCUGGCGGCGUGCUUAACACAUGCAAGUCGAACGGAAAGGCUCUGCUUUUGUGGGGUGCUCGAGUGGCGAACGGGUGAGUAACACGUGAGUAACCUGCCCUUGACUUUGGGAUAACUUCAGGAAACUGGGGCUAAUACCGGAUAGGAGCUCCUGCUGCAUGGUGGGGGUUGGAAAGUUUCGGCGGUUGGGGAUGGACUCGCGGCUUAUCAGCUUGUUGGUGGGGUAGUGGCUUACCAAGGUUUUGACGGGUAGCCGGCCUGAGAGGGUGACCGGCCACAUUGGGACUGAGAUGCGGCCCAGACUCCUACGGGGGGCAGCAGUGGGGAAUAUUGCACAAUGGGCGGAAGCCUGAUGCAGCAACGCCGCGUGCGGGAUGACGGCCUUCGGGUUGUAAACCGCUUGCGCCUGUGACGAAGCGUGAGUGACGGUAAUGGGUAAAGAAGCACCGGCUAACUACGUG
RNAcentral lists this ribosomal RNA (468 nucleotides) under uncultured bacterium. RNAcentral's name for it is "partial 16S ribosomal RNA". It matches the Rfam family "Bacterial small subunit ribosomal RNA", at positions 28 to 507 of the family's 1533-position model. The record is from RNAcentral.